This is a non-coding RNA of Taeniopygia guttata (zebra finch), 2394 nucleotides long. Lineage: Eukaryota; Metazoa; Chordata; Aves; Passeriformes; Estrildidae. The record is from RefSeq and is a predicted model, not a curated record.
UUUGUUUUGUUUAUUUUUUUUCUUUAGUAGGUGCAAAGAUUGAGCCUUGAGCUCCAGCAAGCUGCAUAUGGUGUGUUUUCUGUUCAGAAUCUGUACUGGUGAUCUGCUCUCCCUUGUUACCUGACACAGCCUGAGUUUCUUAACUUGUAGGGCAUGCUGAAUAACCUGUAUUUUCAUUUUCUAAAUAGCAAAGUAUUAUACUUUUCUUGGAAAAGUGGAGAGAAUAACCUUCACAUCAGCCAGCAUUGAGAUGAAGGUAAUUAAAGCUCUUUUACUAAAGACAUUAAGACCAAAUAUUCCCUCAAGUACGGACUGUAGAGUACUACAUUGCCAUGAGGUGAAUUUGCUAAAUUUAAAUUUACAUACACAGAAAUAGCAAAAUUUAACAGAAAUACUGGAAAAGUUCCAUGUAACAUAUUUGCCAAUGGUUCUAUACAGUCGACUGGUCUGUGCAACACAGUGUUGAUUUAGGGAAAGACUUUGCAUUUGCCCACAUGCGCAAUAGUAAGUGAACUGGAAUGUCAGCAUGUAUUGAAAGUGUUGCACACACUGUGUAGUUAUGCUUCUAAACUGCAUGUUUUCCAAUUCUGUAAAAUAAUAUGAAAUUUAUUUAUUAUGUUUCUGAGAACUAUGUCCUGCAGUCAUACUGUGGAAUUGUGUUACCAUCACGGCUGGUUUUAAGUUGAUUACCCUCUGAAAUAUGAAUCGAGGAUGCGAAUCACUGUUAGACCUGCCCUGGAUCCAAGGAUAAGUAGCAUCCUCCCUGCACUAUAGCUCAGACACACUCACCCACACAUAACUCUAUGUUAUACCCAUAUAAAUAUAUAUAUUUCCUUACUGCUGUCAUUUAGAGCAAACAUUUGGCUGAUUGUGGAAGUUUUCUUUUUAUUGGUGUUAUUACUAUUUGCAUUACUGCUCCAGCUAAGAUUUCCUGCUGUUCAUUUCUUUCACAAGUUUCUGUAAGCAUCAAAACAACACCUUUUUAGCUGCAAAGACACCGUUUUGGUAGGAAAAAAUCCGCGGUUUCUGUGGCAGAGAUCACGCCCUGCAAGGCUGGGGCAGGUGGCGGUGGUGCAGGAUGCGGGGAGCAGCAGAGCGGCGGCUGUGUCGGCUCCCGGCUAAACUGAGCUGUGGCCGGGGAUGGGCUGAGGCCGGGGCUGGGCUGGCUUUCAGCGGACUCCCUGCCACAGGUGAAUGAAUCUGGCUAUACUUUUAACACUUCCAGAAUAUAGUAUGUCCAUCAGAGCGUCAUAGGACAAAAAGAGUCCUGAAUCCACAAAUCUCUGGCAGCUUUUCUCUCCAAGUUGCUCAGCCUGCAUUGCACCUUCCCCAGCCACCCAGAACUGCCAGUGCCAGCCUGGCACUGCACCUGGUAAGGGCAAUGGAUCAGCUCCACUGCAUGAUCAAUCUGGUGUUAGGCAUUAUUAAUAGGUUCACUUGUAGAGACUGGCCAGAAUUGUGCUUCUCUUUGUGCUGAACAAGUACAAAUAAAAUGUAGCUCAGAAGUUCUUUUAGUGUCUGAUACCUUUGCUUCUCCCCUAUGAAAAAACCCAGCACAAACUCCUUCACCUCACAUCUGGUACAGACAUUUACAUCUUUGGAGCUGAGGUCACUGCACCACUGCCCUCCCACCAUGGGAACCCAGCGAUGCCCUCUGCACUGGUGUGGCCAGAUCCUGCAUAAAACAGGCUGUGACUGCUUAGCCCAUUGUUCACAGGUACAUGUAAUGGCUCACAAUGCAAAACAGAAGUACUGUGCAAGGCAAAGUGGUUUUGGCUGGGAAUCAUGUAUUCAUCCACCUGAAAUCAAUGUUUGUUUUCUUUUAGCAAGCUUUUGGACAGGUCUGCAUGAGGCCAAGCAGUAUGAGAACACACUGGAAGGGAGGGAAGAAGAAAGCUGACACUUAAAUUAUAGUAGUAAAAACUGCAUAUCUCAAUACCAUCAGCAGUGCUGAGCUGGAACUGUCUCCUGAUUGCCGAUUUUCCAACUUUGUCAAAACACCUCAACUGCAUAAUAAAUAAUGCAAAUGGACAUUCUCUGAUCACCCAUAAACCCAAGAGGAGAUAUACAUUAUCUGAAACUUACUGGUUCAUGGGAGGUUUUGAUCUUCAGAAGAUUUGCAAAAUCAAAUCAGCAGAGUGCAGAGGACAACUUACUUGGCAGGCUUUGGAGCAGGAUGUGACCCCAAAUGGGAUGUGUGGCACACCAGCAGAUCAGUGGCCCAGGACCCACCAGCACUGGGUGCCUGCAGCUCAGGGACCUCAUCUGGAGCUGGCAGCAAGGAAUCAUGGCCAGCCCCACCACAGCAGCCUGCACAUGACAAAUCUAGAUGGGAUCCUGUAGCCACUAUGCCCCAAGACUAGAGGACAGAUCCCUGAAAAUCUUGGAUAAUUG